GCCUGCUGCUCUCCCACCGACUUACUUGUCCUCUACUCUCUCAACGACUUCCUCACCUUCUUCCCCCUCUGUCUUUUCAUCUCAGAAGGAAAAAGGGGAAACAAAGAGAGAGAGAAACUUCAGCAAUUCAAGACCAACGAUCAUCCCUUCGACGAUGGUGCUUCGAUUCUUCUCAGCAUUUCGAUUUUUCGAGUCUGAGGUUGUGGAAGACGAUUUUUCGAUCGUCAUAUUCAUUAGUUUCUCUGUUUUCUUUCUAAAAUAGGCGGAAAGAGUAAGACGGAGCAAGGUCUGGUGGAUUCGAGUUUGAGAGUGAUGUAUGAGUAAUUGUUUCAUGAAGAUUGGUUGGGCUUCAUCGUUUCUUCCUUUAAGGUUGUGCUCAUUUCCCUUUUUUUCGUUGUAUUUCUUGUACCUUGAUUAUGAGCGGUGCUUUAAUUUCUAUAUAUGCAGAAAUGGAGGAUGAAAAAUUAUUUUAGAACUAUGGGGUGGUUUCGAUUCAAUUUGGUAAAAAAUUGUGAUUAAAUUCCCAUGCAUUUUAAAGUCAGAGUCUUAUUUAUUUAUUUAUCUAUUUGAUUAAGAUCUUUCAGUAUCUAAUCGAUUAUUUUCUAUAUGAAGUUUGCUAGGAUAUCAGCUCCAACUAUUGGAAAAGUCGAGAACCCUCAUCGUUACCAUCCUGGAAACAAAAAGCAUUAAUGUGAAAGAUAUGAGUUUAGUGUGAUUAUUACUAAUUUAUAAUUGUAAUAGGAUUGAAUUAAUGAUGCUUGAGUUAAAUUAGAUUUCUUGCUUAUAGUCAAUAGUAUUGUUAAAUAGUGGCAUGUGUUUGAAUAUGGGUGAAAAUUUUCUAUUUAUUUUAUUACCUCUUGUUCCGCUGAGUUUGGGGUAUUAGGUGGUUUGUAUAGAGCAAGGUCGAGCGCGUCGUCGCCUAAGAGUACCCCGGUGGAGUAUGAGGUUCUUAUAGUGGAAAAUACGGUGGUUGGUGAGGAGGGAAAGUCAGAACAACAAGGUAAAGGCGGUGGAAGACCGUGUUUUAAGAAUGUUUUCGAGGUUGUGAGGAAAAUUCAGGUGCAAUAUGAGAGGGCUGCCACUUCUGGGGGUGAGAUUUCUAAGGUGUUGGAGGUAGGCUUACCAAGUUUCUACAAAGAUGCUCAAUGUGAUUAGUCCAUCAUUACCCUCUUCAUUGAAAGACGAGGCUUCUCUAGACCUUUAUGAAAAUGUGCAAUUGCAAUCAGCUAAUCUUUCAGCUACCUAGCAAAAAUUGUAUCUUUGGGAGAAGAAACUCUUUGAUGAAGUCAAGGCUGAAGAAAAAAAUGAGGGUUUCACAUGAUAUAAAGUUGGUAAAAUUAAACCAUUUGGUCGAAAAAGGUGUUGAACCCACCAAGAUAGAAUCAACAAGAAGCGUGGUGAGUAGUCUGUCCACAAAGAUAAGAAUUCCAAUUCAAAUAGUUGACGGGAUCUUAGUUAAAAUUAAUAAGCUCGGAGAUGAAGAGUUAUGGCCUCAGUAGAAUGAGUUAAUCCUAGGGGGGAAAAGAGGAGAAGAUCGAGAGGAAGACAAUCUCAGAGAAGUUCUUAAGCACUCAGCUCAAAUGCUUUUGGAGCUCCGAACCUCAUAAUAACUCUUGUUGCUUCUUCGUGUUUCUUCUACACAUCCUAUAUGCCUUGUUCUUGAGUAGGCUUGGGAUGAAGACAUCAUUGGCAUUGCCGAGAUGGCUUAGAAUGCACUAUAGUAUCUAUUUACAGCUGUUGUGAGGCUGCUAUGUCAUAACUUGAGUGGAGCAUGUGCUUAAAGGCGCCAAUAAGACAAGGAUACAACCAUCAGUACUCUAGCAACUCUCGGAUGGUAGAUGAAGCUGGUGUGAGAUGGUGAUGGUGUUAUAUGUUGAGGUUAUGGGAUUUAAUUUCAUUUGUAGUAUGAGUAGUAUUUAAUUUAUAGUUUUAGAUUGUAGAAAUGAAUAGAAUUAGAUACGUAAAUGAUGAAGUAAUGCAAGAGCAUAUAAGUGAAUAUAUGAGCAUAAUAUAUACUUGUAUUCAACUUCAAUAUGUGUACUGUGAUUGUAGUAGAGAAAUUAUAUCUUUGUUCUUGAGGUUGAGCAUCAA
Molecule: long non-coding RNA, 2091 nt
Organism: Chenopodium quinoa (quinoa)
Lineage: Eukaryota; Viridiplantae; Streptophyta; Magnoliopsida; Caryophyllales; Amaranthaceae
Exons: 8
Source: RefSeq, a predicted model, not a curated record